AGCCAACCCCAACUAGUUUGUCUCUAAGUCUUAGUUCAGUGAAGUAUAAGCGAUUAACUGACAAUGGCAUUUUUUAUUUUACAUAUGGGAUAAAAUUUCCAAGGACAUUGACAGGUGCUUCAAUCUUCCCUCAGGUUAGUUUCAAGAAAAAGAGGCACAAUAAAUAAGAAGUGGAGAAAUGUAUCGCACAAAUUUCCACCACAUAUAUCUUUAGACAAAUAUCCCACCAAAUAUAAAUAAAUAAACAAUUAAUGAACAGUUAAAUAGAUAAUAAAACAUUUACAUGACAUAACCACCAUGUUGCUUGGCACAGGCUAAAGAAGUAGAUAUUGAGUCAAAGAAGUGCAGAGUUUUUG
Molecule: unclassified non-coding RNA, 356 nt
Filed under: Hevea brasiliensis (rubber tree)
Lineage: Eukaryota; Viridiplantae; Streptophyta; Magnoliopsida; Malpighiales; Euphorbiaceae
Source: RNAcentral